Molecule: long non-coding RNA, 619 nt
Organism: Plectropomus leopardus (leopard coralgrouper)
Lineage: Eukaryota; Metazoa; Chordata; Actinopteri; Perciformes; Serranidae
Source: RefSeq, a predicted model, not a curated record
UUGAACUGCACAGCAGCUCUCUUGACAUGUUUUGUCCUCUUGUGUGUGAUUACAGGGUCUGACCUGACAUGCAGCAAACCGUUUGCAAAGGGAAACCCUGUAUGUCCUCAAUUUGCCUCUUAGUCAUCCCAGAGCAACUACAGCCUGAUCUGUUGGCCGGUGAGCAGCGCUACUGGAAGCAAAGUGCCUGGAUCAACAGCACAUGAACACUGGCGAUGGAGGCCCAGACUUAUCAACCUAAGAAGUGGAGGUCAGCUCAGACACCUGCAGACCUGAGGCCACUCUCUCAUAAGUGUGUGAGUGAAGUACAGUGAUCCCAGCAACCUGAUGUGUCAAAUCAGUGUCCUUAGGGACACCCGAGCCCAGUGUGCCCCAUGUACAUGUACGUGUGUAUGUGUACAAGAGCAGCAGCAUGCAAUCUUUGGCUGGCAGCCCUCUUUCUUUUUUUUUUUUUUUUCAGCACCCCUACUGCACAUUUUUACCCAUCCAUUCACUACAGUACUGACUAUAGAUUACUCUUAUUUGUGCAAUUUGUUUGACUUAUUUUACUUACUUCUUAGUUAAGGAAUCAUUUGACAUCUACAAACACUUCAAAAUAGCAUAAAAUACUGUGCUGAGA